CGAGGAUGCGAAGCCUCCAUCGUCAGCACCCUGGAGAGAGAGAGCUCCGGCCGCCCAGCUCUGCUCACAGGGCUCCCUGAUAUUUAAAACAACCACACAAGCUGCAGCCACAAAACACAAGACAGCUACUCACCGCCUCUGGUCGAGUGCUCAGACCUGGCGCCUUGGGGAGAGCCUCACAGCCACUUAGGAGCCUGAUUUGAGCCGCAUCAUGCCUGUGAGGUUCCCGCUGGCUGGACUCCCAGGCCUACCUCCACGGUAGGGCCGGUUUCUCAAGAUUUUGCCUGAAGUCGCUUGGCGCUUCCAGUAAUAUUUGUCCUGCCUACUUGUCCAGUCCGCCCGUCAGACUCCCGUUGCCUCGUUAGGACUCCUUCCUGAUCUGACUGCAAUCCUCCUUCCUCUCACAGGGAAAUGUGGAAAAGAGUUGCCUGUCUAAAUUUCCAUGAGAGUGUGGCUUCUGUCCUGGGUGGAGAUCGGGACCAUCUUGUUCACGGGAUCCUAGUAGGAGAUCUCCAGAGAAUUAAGCUGCUAGGAUCACAGAGUGAUCUUCUUCCUAACAAGAAAUCCCUAGCUCUUUCAAAAUAAAAAGGGACCCUGUUGUCUGAACUAGCAAUGUCUGGAGAUAUUUGGGGUCAUCACAACUGAAGCACGGGGUGCUACUGGCAUCCAGCAUGUAGAGGCCAGUGACACCAUCACACACCCCGAGGUGAACAGGAGAGUCCAGCACAAUGCAGAGGCAUCCUAACCAAACUGUCAAUAGUGUCGAGGCCAAGAGAGCCAGAUGUGGGCACGUGGCCUGCUGGAGGGCUGGCGUUGACGUUGCUUGUGCAGAGUGGCAGCAGCGAAAGCUGUCUGGGAGAAACUUGCUCUGAUUGAAAGCAAGAUGAAAAGACUGGAACAGGUAAGAACCGGUCAGAGAAGAUUUCACAAGUUGUAUCAGCAGAAGCCAAAGAAUUGGUAC
RNAcentral lists this long non-coding RNA (961 nucleotides) under Canis lupus familiaris (dog). RNAcentral describes it as "lncRNA (ENSCAFG00000059169.1, ENSCAFG00845002880.1)". Lineage: Eukaryota; Metazoa; Chordata; Mammalia; Carnivora; Canidae. The record is from RNAcentral.